Molecule: long non-coding RNA, 665 nt
Filed under: Mus musculus (house mouse)
Lineage: Eukaryota; Metazoa; Chordata; Mammalia; Rodentia; Muridae
Description: predicted gene, 50370
Source: RNAcentral
AGAGCUGCAUGAGAUCUUGGAGUAACCACUUCUCAUUACCAUGCUUGAACGUCAGGUGAAGUGAAGGCAGGAGACAGGUGAGUCGGUUACUCUCGGGUCACCCUGGAUGGACCUGGACGAUCAUGGAUCAGAGAAAAUGCCUCUUCCCAUGGGCCACUCAGAUUCUCACUUUGCAUUUCCAUUACUACUUAAGGAGAUUCCUUCCUGGAGACACUGUACUGACCUGGCUUUCCCUACCUGUUCUCCUGGACUUCCCAGGAAUAACUGGAGAAUGCUACAGGGAUGUGGCAUCAUCCUGGGGAUAAGGAGGGGCUGGCCAGUAGACUGGUGUGUGUUCUAGAGAUUUCUAGAAGCAGGGUGCUGUUGAUGCUUUAGUUUUGUAGUCAUGUUAUCUGGGGCAUAAAAUCUAGAGGGAAUGGCUUUCUAGACUCAUCAGCUGUGAAAGCAGUAGGACAUAUGCAGAGUAAAAUCAUUCACUCUGGAAACUCUUCCUAACCUUGGGACCUGGCUGGCAAGACUUCUGCUGUUCCUGGUUGUUGCCUGUCUGUAAGCAAAAUGACGCUGGUUUGUUUCGCUGGGGUAUGGGCAUAUUCUCUCUCACUAGACCCAGGAAGGUGAUAACUGGGAGACAUCAAGUUUGCUUCAUACCUACUGUUUUCUUCUGC